GGGGUAGCGCCAGAUCUUGGGCUCUGUCCCCGGUGCCCUGGGCUCCCGGGCCUGCCUAUUGGAAUCGUGCUCCCGGCCGCGCAGCUCCCU
RNAcentral lists this microRNA precursor (90 nucleotides) under Canis lupus familiaris (dog). RNAcentral's name for it is "mir-8799 microRNA precursor family". It matches the Rfam family "mir-8799 microRNA precursor family". RNAcentral also lists the same sequence under 1 other name. Lineage: Eukaryota; Metazoa; Chordata; Mammalia; Carnivora; Canidae. The record is from Rfam by way of RNAcentral.